AAUAUUGGAAAAUGGGCGCAAGACUGAUCCAGCCAUGCCGCGUGUGUGAAGAAGGUCUUCGGACUGUCAAGCACUUUAUUUUGGGAGGACGGGCAGUUAACGAAUACUUAACUGUUCUGACGCUACCAAUAGAGUAAGCACCGGCUAACUUCGUGCCAGCAGCCGCGGUAAUACGAAGGGUGUAAGCGUUAAUCGGAAUUACUGGGCGUAAAGCGCGCGUAGGUGGUUCAUUAAGUUGGAAGUGAAAGCCCCGGACUCAACCUGGGAAUUGCUUUCAAAACUGGCGAGCUAGAGUACGGUAGAGGGUGGUGGAAUUUCCUGUGUAGCGGUGAAAUGCGUAGAUAUAGGAAGGAACAUCAGUGGCGAAGGCGACCACCUGGACUGAUACUGACACUGAGGUGCAAAAGCGUGGGGAGCAAGCAGG
RNAcentral lists this ribosomal RNA (424 nucleotides) under uncultured bacterium. Its description in RNAcentral is "partial 16S ribosomal RNA". It matches the Rfam family "Bacterial small subunit ribosomal RNA", at positions 360 to 776 of the family's 1533-position model. The record is from RNAcentral.